This 281-nucleotide long non-coding RNA is filed under the name Elaeis guineensis (African oil palm). RNAcentral describes it as "long non-coding RNA (EGUI_LNC051239)". The record is from RNAcentral. Lineage: Eukaryota; Viridiplantae; Streptophyta; Magnoliopsida; Arecales; Arecaceae.
GGUUGAAUUCAAGGUAUGACUUAUGAAGAUUGAUAGAUUGACCCAAGAGAGCAUAGUAGCGAUCAAUCAAAACUUUGAGAAAUAUGAUGUCUCUAACAUAUGCUUUGGCCAUUAGCAAACUAUCAUCAACGAAGCCAAGCUGGCUAAUACACUCUCAGCACAUUAUAUUGGAUUGCAAGUUGCAAUAGUCUAGAUGGCAUGUCAGAAUAUAUUCUAAAUAAGAAAGGGGAUAAUAGGCAUCCUUGAUGUAGGGCUCCAAUUGGAUUGAACCAAGAUAAAGG